Molecule: ribosomal RNA, 406 nt
Filed under: uncultured bacterium
Lineage: Bacteria
Description: partial 16S ribosomal RNA
Rfam family: Bacterial small subunit ribosomal RNA
Source: RNAcentral
AUUGAACGCUGGCGGCAGGCUUAACACAUGCACGUCGAACGAGUGGCGGACGGGUGAGUAAUGCUUGGGAAUCUAGCUUAUGGAGGGGGAUAACUACGGGAAACUGUAGCUAAUACCGCGUACCCUAGGAUGAACCCAUAUGGGAUUAGCUUGUAGGUGAGGUAACGGCUCACCUAGGCGACGAUCCCUAGCUGGUCUGAGAGGAUGACCAGCCACACUGGGACUGAGACACGGCCCAGACGCCUACGGGCGGCAGCAGUGGGGAAGAUUGCACGAUGGGCGCAAGCCUGAUGCAGCCAUGCCGCGUGUAUGAAGAAGGCCCUAGGGUUGUAAAGUACUUUCAGUCGGGAGGCGUUACCGACAGAAGAAGCACCGGCUAACUCCGUGCCAGCCGCCGCGGUAAUAC